UACGUAGGGGGCGAGCGUUGUCCGGAUUUAUUGGGCGUAAAGAGCUCGUAGGCGGUUUGGUAAGUUGGAUGUGAAAUCUCUAGGCUCAACUUGGAGGGGUCAUUCGAUACUGCCAUGACUAGAGUUCGGUAGGGGAGUGUGGAAUUCCUGGUGGAACGGUGAAAUGCGCAGAUAUCAGGAGGAACACCCGUAGCGAAGGCGGCACUCUGGGCCGGAACUGACGCUGAGGAGCGAAAGCGUGGGGAGCGAACAGG
Molecule: ribosomal RNA, 254 nt
Filed under: uncultured bacterium
Lineage: Bacteria
Description: partial 16S ribosomal RNA
Rfam family: Bacterial small subunit ribosomal RNA
Source: RNAcentral